This 642-nucleotide unclassified non-coding RNA is filed under the name Hevea brasiliensis (rubber tree). Lineage: Eukaryota; Viridiplantae; Streptophyta; Magnoliopsida; Malpighiales; Euphorbiaceae. The record is from RNAcentral.
AUUGGGUCGAACAAUUGCCUUUAGAGUCUUGUUUUGCAAGUCGAUUACGCAGUUGAGGCAUCGAUUGUUUCAUUUCUUGAUGUAUUACUUGUACAAGUUUAAGAGUGGAAUUUCGUACUAUGUGACACCUUUGAUUUCGUGGUUGCACCCUCGCAAUCCACAAGGGAUAUUGGCAUUAGUAACGCUUCUCGCCUUCUUGUUGAGGCGGUAUACUAAUGUAAAAGUUAAGGCUGAGAUGGCUUAUAGGAGGAAGUUUUGGAGGAAUAUGAUGAGAUCUGCCUUGACUUAUGAGGAGUGGGCUCAUGCUGCUAAGAUGUUGGAUAAAGAGACACCUAAAUUGAAUGAGGCAGAUCUUUAUGAUGAAGAAUUAGUUCGAAAUAAACUUCAAGAGCUUCGACAUCGUAGGCAAGAGGGUUCUCUGAGAGAUAUCAUUUUCUGUAUGAGAGCUGACCUUGUAAGGAAUCUUGGUAAUAUGUGCAAUUCAGAACUUCACAAGGGAAGGCUUCAUGUGCCUAGACUUAUUAAGGAAUAUAUUGAUGAGGUUUCAACUCAGUUGAAAAUGGUAUGCGACUCUGAUUCAGAGGAGCUUCUGUUGGAAGAGAAGCUUGCUUUCAUGCAUGAAACAAGACAUGCCUUUGGUAG